UACGGAGGAUGCGAGCGUUAUCCGGAUUUAUUGGGUUUAAAGGGUGCGUAGGCGGGCUGUUAAGUCAGCGGUCAAAUGUCGGGGCUCAACCCCGGCCUGCCGUUGAAACUGGCAGACUUGAGUUGGCGAGAAGUACGCGGAAUGCGCGGUGUAGCGGUGAAAUGCAUAGAUAUCACGCAGAACUCCGAUUGCGAAGGCAGCAUGCCGGCUUCCGACUGACGCUGAAGCACGAAAGCGUGGGGAUCGAACAGG
RNAcentral lists this ribosomal RNA (252 nucleotides) under uncultured Bacteroidales bacterium. Its description in RNAcentral is "partial 16S ribosomal RNA". It matches the Rfam family "Bacterial small subunit ribosomal RNA", at positions 524 to 776 of the family's 1533-position model. Lineage: Bacteria; Pseudomonadati; Bacteroidota; Bacteroidia; Bacteroidales. The record is from RNAcentral.